This 465-nucleotide ribosomal RNA is filed under the name uncultured bacterium. Its description in RNAcentral is "partial 16S ribosomal RNA". It matches the Rfam family "Bacterial small subunit ribosomal RNA", at positions 28 to 507 of the family's 1533-position model. The record is from RNAcentral.
GACGAACGCUGGCGGCGUGCUUAACACAUGCAAGUCGAACGGAAAGGCCCUGCUUGCAGGUUACUCGUGUGGCGAACGGGUGAGUAACACGUGGGUGAUCUGCCCUGCACUUCGGCUUAAGCCUGUUCAACUGGGUCUAAUUCCUGCUAGAUGCUAUUUUUAGUGUGAUGGUUGGAAAGUUUUUUGCGUUCUGGCUGAGCUGGCUGCGUAUCUGCUUGCUGGUGGAGUAAUGGGCUACCAAGGCGGCGACGGGUAGCCGGACUGAGUGGGUGGACUGCCAUAUUGAGACUGAGGGACGGCCCAGACUCCGACGGGAGGGAGAAGGGGGGAAUAUUGAACAAGGGGCGCAAGCCGGAUGCAGCGACGCCGCGGAGGGGAUGACGCCCUUCGGGGUGUAAAACAUAUGCGCAAGGGACGAAGCUUUUUGUGACGGUACCUAGAUAAGAAGCACCGGCUAACUACGUG